Molecule: ribosomal RNA, 425 nt
Filed under: uncultured bacterium
Lineage: Bacteria
Description: partial 16S ribosomal RNA
Rfam family: Bacterial small subunit ribosomal RNA
Source: RNAcentral
GUGGGGAAUAUUGGACAAUGGGCGAAAGCCUGAUCCAGCAAUGCCGCGUGAGUGAUGAAGGCCUUAGGGUUGUAAAGCUCUUUUACCAGGGAUGAUAAUGACAGUACCUGGAGAAUAAGCUCCGGCUAACUCCGUGCCAGCAGCCGCGGUAAUACGGAGGGAGCUAGCGUUGUUCGGAAUUACUGGGCGUAAAGCGCACGUAGGCGGUUACUCAAGUCAGAGGUGAAAGCCCGGGGCUCAACCCCGGAACUGCCUUUGAAACUAGGUAACUAGAAUCUUGGAGAGGUCAGUAGAAUUCCGAGUGUAGAGGUGAAAUUCGUAGAUAUUCGGAAGAACACCAGUGGCGAAGGCGACUGACUGGACAAGUAUUGACGCUGAGGUGCGAAAGCGUGGGGAGCAAACAGGAUUAGAAACCCCGGUAGUCC